Molecule: ribosomal RNA, 448 nt
Filed under: uncultured bacterium
Lineage: Bacteria
Description: partial 16S ribosomal RNA
Rfam family: Bacterial small subunit ribosomal RNA
Source: RNAcentral
UAGGGAAUCUUCCACAAUGGGACAGCAAGUCUGAUGGAGCAACGCCGCGUGAGUGAAGAAGGCUUUCGGGUCGUAAAACUCUGUUAUUGAAGAAGAACGUGUGUGACAGUAACUGGUCAUGCAGUGACGGUAUUCAAUCAGAAAGUCACGGCUAACUACGUGCCAGCAGCCGCGGUAAUACGUAGGUGGCAAGCGUUGUCCGGAUUUAUUGGGCGUAAAGCGAGUGCAGGCGGUCUUUUAAGUCUGAUGUGAAAGCCUUCGGCUUAACCGAAGAAGGGCAUCGGAAACUGGGAGACUUGAGUGCAGAAGAGGAGAGUGGAACUCCAUGUGUAGCGGUGAAAAUGCGUAGAUAUAUGGAAGAACACCAGUGGCGAAGGCGGCUCUCUGGUCUGUAACUGACGCUGAGGCUCGAAAGCGUGGGUAGCAAACAGGAUUAGAUACCCUGGUA